This 2357-nucleotide ribosomal RNA is filed under the name metagenome. RNAcentral's name for it is "bacterial LSU rRNA". It matches the Rfam family "Bacterial large subunit ribosomal RNA", at positions 393 to 2754 of the family's 2925-position model. The record is from RNAcentral.
UCUCUUGAGUGGAUCCUGAGUACGACGGAGCACGUGAAAUUCCGUCGGAAUCUGGGAGGACCAUCUCCUAAGGCUAAAUACUCUCUAGUGACCGAUAGUGAACCAGUACCGUGAGGGAAAGGUGAAAAGCACCCCGGAAGGGGAGUGAAAUAGAACCUGAAACCGUGUGCUUACAAGUAGUCAGAGCCCGUUAAUGGGUGAUGGCGUGCCUUUUGUAGAAUGAACCGGCGAGUUACGAUUUGAUGCAAGGUUAAGCAGUAAAUGUGGAGCCGUAGCGAAAGCGAGUCUGAAUAGGGCGUUUAGUAUUUGGUCGUAGACCCGAAACCAGGUGAUCUACCCUUGGUCAGGUUGAAGUUCAGGUAACACUGAAUGGAGGACCGAACCGACUUACGUUGAAAAGUGAGCGGAUGAACUGAGGGUAGCGGAGAAAUUCCAAUCGAACCUGGAGAUAGCUGGUUCUCUCCGAAAUAGCUUUAGGGCUAGCCUCAAGUGAUGAUUAUUGGAGGUAGAGCACUGUUUGGACGAGGGGCCCCUCUCGGGUUACCGAAUUCAGACAAACUCCGAAUGCCAAUUAAUUUAACUUGGGAGUCAGAACAUGGGUGAUAAGGUCCGUGUUCGAAAGGGAAACAGCCCAGACCACCAGCUAAGGUCCCAAAAUAUAUGUUAAGUGGAAAAGGAUGUGGCGUUGCCCAGACAACUAGGAUGUUGGCUUAGAAGCAGCCAUCAUUUAAAGAGUGCGUAAUAGCUCACUAGUCGAGUGACACUGCGCCGAAAAUGUACCGGGGCUAAACAUAUUACCGAAGCUGUGGAUUGUCCUUUGGACAAUGGUAGGAGAGCGUUCUAAGGGCGUUGAAGCAUGAUCGUAAGGACAUGUGGAGCGCUUAGAAGUGAGAAUGCCGGUGUGAGUAGCGAAAGACGGGUGAGAAUCCCGUCCACCGAUUGACUAAGGUUUCCAGAGGAAGGCUCGUCCGCUCUGGGUUAGUCGGGUCCUAAGCUGAGGCCGACAGGCGUAGGCGAUGGAUAACAGGUUGAUAUUCCUGUACCACCUAUAAUCGUUUUAAUCGAUGGGGGGACGCAGUAGGAUAGGCGAAGCGUGCGAUUGGAUUGCACGUCUAAGCAGUAAGGCUGAGUAUUAGGCAAAUCCGGUACUCGUUAAGGCUGAGCUGUGAUGGGGAGAAGACAUUGUGUCUUCGAGUCGUUGAUUUCACACUGCCGAGAAAAGCCUCUAGAUAGAAAAUAGGUGCCCGUACCGCAAACCGACACAGGUAGUCAAGAUGAGAAUUCUAAGGUGAGCGAGCGAACUCUCGUUAAGGAACUCGGCAAAAUGACCCCGUAACUUCGGGAGAAGGGGUGCUCUUUAGGGUUAACGCCCAGAAGAGCCGCAGUGAAUAGGCCCAAGCGACUGUUUAUCAAAAACACAGGUCUCUGCUAAACCGUAAGGUGAUGUAUAGGGGCUGACGCCUGCCCGGUGCUGGAAGGUUAAGAGGAGUGGUUAGCUUCUGCGAAGCUACGAAUCGAAGCCCCAGUAAACGGCGGCCGUAACUAUAACGGUCCUAAGGUAGCGAAAUUCCUUGUCGGGUAAGUUCCGACCCGCACGAAAGGCGUAACGAUUUGGGCACUGUCUCAACGAGAGACUCGGUGAAAUCAUAGUACCUGUGAAGAUGCAGGUUACCCGCGACAGGACGGAAAGACCCCGUGGAGCUUUACUGUAGCCUGAUAUUGAAAUUCGGCACAGCUUGUACAGGAUAGGUAGGAGCCUUUGAAACGUGAGCGCUAGCUUACGUGGAGGCGCUGGUGGGAUACUACCCUAGCUGUGUUGGCUUUCUAACCCGCACCACUUAUCGUGGUGGGAGACAGUGUCAGGCGGGCAGUUUGACUGGGGCGGUCGCCUCCUAAAAGGUAACGGAGGCGCUCAAAGGUUCCCUCAGAAUGGUUGGAAAUCAUUCAUAGAGUGUAAAGGCAUAAGGGAGCUUGACUGCGAGACCUACAAGUCGAGCAGGGUCGAAAGACGGACUUAGUGAUCCGGUGGUUCCGCAUGGAAGGGCCAUCGCUCAACGGAUAAAAGCUACCCCGGGGAUAACAGGCUUAUCUCCCCCAAGAGUUCACAUCGACGGGGAGGUUUGGCACCUCGAUGUCGGCUCAUCGCAUCCUGGGGCUGUAGUCGGUCCCAAGGGUUGGGCUGUUCGCCCAUUAAAGCGGUACGCGAGCUGGGUUCAGAACGUCGUGAGACAGUUCGGUCCCUAUCCGUCGUGGGCGUAGGAAAUUUGAGAGGAGCUGUCCUUAGUACGAGAGGACCGGGAUGGACAUACCUCUGGUGUACCAGUUGUCGUGCCAACGGCAUAGCUGGGUAGCUAUGU